This 497-nucleotide ribosomal RNA is filed under the name uncultured bacterium. RNAcentral describes it as "partial 16S ribosomal RNA". It matches the Rfam family "Bacterial small subunit ribosomal RNA", at positions 28 to 507 of the family's 1533-position model. The record is from RNAcentral.
GACGAACGCUGGCGGCGUGCCUAAUACAUGCCAGUAGAACGCUGAAGAGAGGAGCUUGCUCUUCUUGGAUGAGUUGCGAACGGGUGAGUAACGCGUAGGUAACCUGCCUUGUAGCGGGGGAUAACUAUCGGAAACGAUAGCUAAUACCGCAUAACAAUGGAUGACACAUGUCAUUUAUUUUAAAUGGGCAAUUGCUCCACUACAAUAUGGACCUGAGUUGUAUUAGCUAGUAGGUGAGGUAAUGGCUCAUCUAGGCGACGAUACAUAGCCGGCCUGAGAGGGUGAUCGGCCGCACUGGGACAGAGAGAAGACCCUGAAUGCGAGGGGAGGGAGCAGUAAGGAGCCUUCGGAAAUUGGGGCAACGCUGACCGGAAAGAGCCGAGUGGGUGAAAGAGGUUUUCGGAGCGUAAAGCUCUUUUGUAAGUCCAGAACGAGUGUGAGAGUGGAAAGUUCACACUGUGACGGUAGCUUGACAGAAAGGAACGGCUAACUACGUG